ACCUGCAGGGCCCGAGGAAAAAAACAUUACCACAGCAAGAGCACUGGCUCGCCCCUCGCCCACGAAGUCACCGCCAUCGCCGCUGCCCACGCUGGGCGCUUCCGACGACCUACGGCGGCACGCAGUACGCUCCCGAGCUCCCCACGGUCUGCGCAUCCCUCUCCUCCGGACAUAUUCUUGGCUCCCAUCCUGAGCCGCCCGGUCGGAACCACCCCGUGGCUAGGGUUUCGGACAGGGCUGCGCCGACGCGUCUCCAGCGGCCCUAGGUACACAAGUUUGGUCAAUUGAUGCAGAGAAAUUUAUAUGUUGUGGGGAUGAAGGAGCAGGAUCUGUUGUACAAUUAGAGUCUGCAGUUUGCUUUCCAGGAGUAGGAGAUGGAUCUCUGUUCCUGUGUUUUGGGGAAAAGACAAUUCUGAAUUUGGCAACAAAAGUGUGAACCAUCACCAUUCAGUGUCAAAUAAUCUAAAGGUGUUGGCAUGGCCUAGUUUACCUCAUAAGAUGAGCAAUGUAUUUAUUCCUCGCAAUGGACCUCAAUAGCUUGGUCGGAAUAAUCCAUUUCUUUCCGUUGAUUUAGAGCACAAGAUCCUUCAUUAUUGACAAAUGAGUUCUGCACACCGGCUAGCACAAAAUCAGAAUUACUUUCUUCAGAUGGAGUUCUCUGGAUCAUCAGGAUCAUUGAUAUACACACCUGAAACUCAAAGCGAGAUAGCGACAGUUAUUUAGGGGGUUUUGCUUGGUCUUUUUCUACUUCCCUUGCUGUACACAAACUAAAUCUCUUUUGGAUGUACAGCAAGCAAUCAGUGAAUUUGCAACUGGAUAGCAUGAGGAAGUUAAUGGACCUAGAUUUUGAGUGGUAUUUACCCGGUGAGCAUCCCUUCAAAGUAUUGCAUACAUAAUAUAUAUUAUCAAAAUUCAGUUUCGUAUCUGGACCUGCAAGCCAUCUCAUAAGAUCUUCAAUUCAAUUGAUUUUCUUUAACUUUCACUAAUUUGUUAGUUGUCUCUCUCCAGGGCAUGGCUAUCGAAUCCGGUAUGAAAACGUACAUGCCAAAACAACUGAGUCUUUACUGAUUGAUUGAUUAGUGAAUUGAUCAUUUAA
Long non-coding RNA from Hordeum vulgare subsp. vulgare (domesticated barley), 1096 nucleotides. RefSeq lists it as uncharacterized. The record is from RefSeq and is a predicted model, not a curated record. NCBI's taxonomy places the organism in Eukaryota, Viridiplantae, Streptophyta, Magnoliopsida, Poales, Poaceae. The transcript is spliced from 6 exons.